RNAcentral lists this long non-coding RNA (342 nucleotides) under Arachis ipaensis. RNAcentral describes it as "long non-coding RNA (AIPA_LNC001116)". Lineage: Eukaryota; Viridiplantae; Streptophyta; Magnoliopsida; Fabales; Fabaceae. The record is from RNAcentral.
GGAGAAGUAGGACUAUAACUGGGAGAAGUGGGGCUAUAACUAGGUGAUGUGGGGCUAUAACCAGGAGAGGUGGGGCUGUACGCAGGUGAUGUGGGACUGUAUGAAGGUGAUGUAGGACUGUAUGAAGGUGAUGUUGGGCUAUAUGAAGGAGAAGUAGGACUAUAUGAAGGUGAUGUUGGGCUAUAUGAAGGAGAAGUAGGACUGUAUGCAGGGGAUGUUGGGCUGUAGGCAGGUGAAGUUGGGCUGUAGGCAGGUGAGGUGGGGCUGUAGCUUGGUGAGGUGGGGCUAUAGCUUGGGGAGGUGGGGCUGUAGCUUGGAGAAGUUGGGCUGUAGCUUGGUGAG